UACGUAGGGUCCAAGCGUUAUCCGGAAUCACUGGGCGUAAAGCGUGCGUAGGUGGAUAGUUAAGUGCAACAUUAAAUCCCGAGGCUCAACCUCGGGUCUGCAGUCGAUACGAGCAAACUAGAGUGUUGCAGGGGAGACUGGAAUUCCUGGUGUAGCGGUGAAAUGCGCAGAUAUCAGGAGGAACACCGGUGGCGAAGGCGGGUCUCUGGGCAACAACUGACGCUGAGGAGCGAAAGCGUGGGGAGCGAACAGG
This 253-nucleotide ribosomal RNA is filed under the name uncultured bacterium. RNAcentral describes it as "partial 16S ribosomal RNA". It matches the Rfam family "Bacterial small subunit ribosomal RNA", at positions 524 to 776 of the family's 1533-position model. The record is from RNAcentral.